This is a long non-coding RNA of Cyprinus carpio carpio, 7686 nucleotides long. The record is from Ensembl. Lineage: Eukaryota; Metazoa; Chordata; Actinopteri; Cypriniformes; Cyprinidae.
UCUGAUAAGUAAAUUUUACAAUCUUCAGUGAUCCAUUGAGUUGGGACUGUCUAGAUUCCAGAAGAGUACUGAUAGCACCUAGGACCAAAUUUUCAUUGGGCACUGACGACAAGGAUGAGAAUACCAAUAUGGUUGUGACUGUUGCUGCACCAGUCACAUUUGUUGACAAUGUUUUGGGUAUGUUUGAAGUUUCUGGUUGCAAACUUGAAGUACUUUGAAGUGUUGCAGAUGCAUCUGCUUUUGUUGCAUUGUUUAGAGGUGUAGUAUUGCUAGAAAGAGUUUCAGCUGGUGUUGUUUUGAUUGAUGAUUGACUUGGAAUUGUAGAUGCUGGGGAUGUUGAUGCAUUUGUGUUUGAAACUGAUGUUAUUGGAGCUAUUGGAAAUUCUGCUGCACUGGUGAGACCUGUAUUAAUUCCAGUUGUAGUUGUUGAUGCAGUUGUAGUUUCUGAAUCCAUGUUUGGGAUUGGAGUUGUUUUGGUUGAAAGUGCAAGUGUGGCUGGAGCAGAAGAUGUGUUGGUAAAAGCUACAGUUGUUCUUAAAAGAUCUCCUGUUGUUACUUGAAAUGCAGUUGUUGUUUGAGCUGCAGUUGAACUUGGAAUAGUGGCUGUUGUUGUGGUUGGAGCUGUAGUUGAGAUAUCAGCUGGAACUGUAGUGGUGGGAAGAACAGUCAUGGUUGUAAUGGGUGUAGUUGGGGUUCUUGGAGGUUCAGUUGUUUUUAUUGGAGUUAAAGUUGGGGAUAUAGUUACAUGUGAUGAUGAGAUAGGCAUAAUUGUUACAGCAAUAGUUACAGUCUCCGGAGACACAGUUGUGAUAAUUGGAGGUGCAUUUGUUGUGGUAAGGAGUCCUGCUUGGCUUAGAGCUGGAGCUGUAUUAGUGAAAGCAAUAGUUGUGGUUGAUAGAGGUGCAGUUGUUAUUCGGAAUGCAGUUGUUGUUGCCGCUGUAGGUGUGUUUGUGCCUGGAAUUGAAGUUGAGGUUUGAGAUGGAUUUUCUGUUGUGGGAUAGUUAUUCGUAGAAGAGGAAGCUGUAAUGGUGGAUGUUGCAGGUGCAGGAGUACUUUCUGAAGUUGUAGACAUUGUUGGUGAAGUAAGAGUUGAGGUUUCAGUAGUUGUGGCUGGGGUUAAACUUGAUGUAGUAGUUGAAUAUUCCAUCAUGGUUGUGGAAUCUGUGGUUACAGCAGGUGAAGUUAUACUUUCUGAAUUUGUGUUCGGACCUUUUGAUGUUGUACUUGCAGCCUUAGGUGUGGUUUGAUCUGAUGUAGAAGUGGAAGGAAUGGUUGUGGUGAUGGAAGCUGUAGUUGUGGUUGUUGCAAGAGAAGCUGCUGUUGUCGUUGAAGCUACAGUGGUAGUUGUGGACGUUGUAGUUAUCGAUGUUGUUGGUGCAGUUGUGGUUUCUGAAGUCAUUUUGGUGAUUGUGAGUGUUUCAGUAGUUGCAGGUGCAAGUGGCAUUGUGGUUUGAGCUGUUGUUGCACUUGGAGCUUCAGAUGACAUUGGAGCUGAUGUCAUAGAGGAAGGUACAUUUAUAGAUGAGGAAGCUGUAGUUACUGAUGUUGUUACAGGUGCAGAUGUUUCUGAAGAUGUAGCCAUUGUUGUUGAAAUUACAGCUGUUGAUGUUGUUGGAUAAUUAGUUGCUGUACCUCGAGAUUCAGAUGAGGUUGGAGAUGAUGAUGUAGUAGUAGAAUGCACUAUCGCAGCUGAGGAAGCUGUAGAUGUUGAAGAUGCAGUUGUAAUUUCGGAAGCUGUAGUCACAGUAGUGGAUGGCCCCACUGUGGCUGUGGAAGCUGCAGUUGUGCUUGCUGCAGGUGUAGUUGUACUUUCUGAUGUUGUAGGCAUUGUUGUAGACGUAAGAGUUGUUGCUCCUGAAGUCACAACAGUGGAUGUGAGAGCUCCAGUAGAUGUGGUUGCAAGCAGCAAUGUGGUUUUAGAUGUUGUUGUACUUGGAGCUUCAGAUGACAUUGGAGCUGAUGUCAUAGAGGAAGGUACAGUUGUAGGUGAGGAAGCUGUAGUUACUGAUGUUGUUACAGGUGCAGUUGUUUCUGAAGAUGUAGGCACUGUUGUUGAAGUGAGAGUUGAGGAUUCUGAAGUUACAGCUGUUGAUGUUGUUGGAGUGUUCUUUGCUGUAAAUAUAGUUGAUGAAGCCGUAGUCAUAGCUUCUGCCGUUGUACUCUCUGAAGUUGUAGGCACCACUGUCGAAAUGAUAGGUGUGGUUUCUGUUCUCACAACCGUGGUUGUGGGAAUAUAGGUUUUUGAGGAUACUGUAGUUACUGAUGUUACAGUUGCAGUAGAUUCUGAAGAUGUAGGCUUAGCUGUUGAAGUAAGAGUUAUGGAUUCAGUACUCACAACUGUGGUUGUGGGAAUUUCAGUAGUUGAGGAUGCUGUAGUUACUGAUUUUGUUAGAGGUGUAGUUGUUUCUGAAGAUGUAGCUAUAACUGUUGAAGUAGGAGUUGUAGAUUCAGAAGUUACAAAUGUUGAUGUUGUUGGAUUGUUCGUUUUUGUAGGUGUGGUUGAUGAAGCUGUAGUCAUGGUUUCAGCUGUUGUACUCUUCAAAGUUGUGGGCAACACUGUUGAAGUAAUAGGUGUGGUUUCUGUACUCACAGCUGUGGUUGUGGAAAUUUUGAUAGUUGAGGAUGCUUUAGUUACUGAAGUUGUUACAGGUGCAGUUGUUUCUGAAGAUGUAGGCAAUGUUGUUGAAGUGAGAGUUGAGGAUUCUGAAGGUAUAACUGUUGAUGUUGUUGGAUUGUUUGUUGUUGCAGGUGUGGAUGAUGAAGCUGUAGUCGUGGUUUCUGCUGUUGUACUCUCUGAAGUUGUAGGCACCACUGUUGAAGUAAUAGGUGUGGUUUCUUUACUCACAACUGUGCUUGUGGGAAUUUCAGAAGUUGAGGAUGCUGUAGUUACUGAUGUUUUUACAGGUGCAGUUGUUUCUGAAGAUGUAGGCACUGUUUUUGAAGUGAGAGUUGUGGAUUCUGAAGUUACAAAUGUUGAUGUUGUUGGAUUGUUUGUUGUAAGUGUGGUUGAUGAAGCUGUAGAUGUGGUUUCUGCUGUUGUACUCUCUGAAGUUGUGGGCACCACUGUUGAAGUAAUAGGUGUGGUUUCUGUACUCACAACUGUGGUUGUAGGAAUUUCAGUAGUUGAGGAUGCUGUAGUUACUGAAGUUGUUACAGGUGCAGUUGUUUCUGAAGAUGUAGGCAAUGUUGUUGAAGUGAGAGUUGUGGAUUCUGAAGUUACAAAUGUUGAUGUUGUUGGAUUGUUUGUUGUAAGUGUGGUUGAUGAAGCUGUAGAUGUGGUUUCUGCUGUUGUACUCUCUGAAGUUGUGGGCACCACUGUUGAAGUAAUAGGUGUGGUUUCUGUACUCAUAACUGUGGUUGUGAGAAUUUCAGUAGUUGAGGAUGCUUUAGUUACUGAAGUUGUUACAGGUGCAGUUGUUUCUGAAGAUGUAGGGACUGUUGUUGAAGUGAAAGUUGUGGAUUCUGAAGGUACAACUGUUGAUGUUGUUGGAAUGUUUGUUGUUGUAGGUGUGGUUGAUGAAGCUGUAGUCGUGGUUUCUGCUGUUGUACUCUCUGAAGUUGUAGGCACCACUGUUGAAGUAACAGAUGUGGUUUCUGAACUCACAGCUGUGCUUGUAGGAAUUUCAGUAGUUGAGGAUGCUGUAGUUACUGACGUUGUUACAGGUGCAGUUGUUUCUAUAGAUGUAGGCAAUGUUGUUGAAGUGAGAGUUGUGGAUUCAGAAGUUGCAGCUAUUGAUCUUGUUGGAUUGUUUGUUGUUGUAGGAGUGGUUGAUGAAGCUGUAGUCGUGGUUUCUACUGUUGUACUCUCUGAAGUUGUAGGCACCACUGUUGAAGUAGUAGAUGUGGAUUCUGAACUCAAAACUGUGGUUGUGGGAAUUUCAAUAGUUGAGGAUGCUGUAGUUACUGAUGUUGUUACAGGUGCAGUUGUUUCUAUAGAUGUAGGCAAUGCUGUUGAACUGAGAGUUGUGGAUUCUGAAGCUACAGCUGUUGUUGUUGUUGGAGUGUUUGUUGUUGAAGGAGUGGUUGAUGAAGCUGUAGUCGUGGUUUCUACUGUUGUACUCUCUGAAGUUGUAGGCACCACUGUUGAAGUAGUAGAUGUGGAUUCUGUACUCACAACUGUGGUUGUGGGAAUGUCAGUAGUUGAGGAUGCUGUAGUUAUAACUGUUGAAGUAAGAGUUGUAGAUUCUGAAGCUACAGCUGUUGUUGUUGUUGGAUUGUUUGUUGUUGAAGGAGUGGUUGAUGAAGCUGUAGUCGUGGUUUCUACUGUUGUACUCUCUGAAGUUGUAGGCACCACUGCUGAAGUAGUAGAUGUGGAUUCUGUACUCACAACUGUGGUUGUGGGAAUUUCAGUAGUUGAGGAUGCUGUAGUUAUAACUGUUGAAGUAAGAGUUGUAGAUUCAGAAGUUACAGAUGUUGAUGUUGUUGGAUUGUUUGUUGUUGUAGGAGUGGUUGAUGAAGCUGUAGUCGUGGUUUCUACUGUUGUACUCUCUGAAGUUGUAGGCACCACUGUUGAAGUAGUAGAUGUGGAUUCUGUACUCACAACUGUGGUUGUGGGAAUUUCAGUAGUUGAGGAUGCUGUAGUUACUGAUUUUGUUAGAGGUGUAGUUGUUUCUGAAGAUGUAGCUAUAACUGUUGAAGUAGGAGUUGUAGAUUCAGAAGUUACAAAUGUUGAUGUUGUUGGAUUGUUCGUUUUUGUAGGUGUGGUUGAUGAAGCUGUAGUCAUGGUUUCUCCUGUUGUACUCUCUGAAGUCGUAGGCACCACUGUUGAAGUAAUGGAUGUGGUUUCUGAACUCACAACUGUGGUUGUGGGAAUUUCAGUACUUGAGGAUGCUGUAGUUACUGAUGUUGUUACAGGUGUAGUUGUUUCUUUAGAUGUAGGCAAUGUCGUUGAAAUGAGAGUUGUGGGUUCUGAAGUUACAGCUUUUGAUGUUGUUGGAGCAUUUGUUGUUGUAGGAGUGGUUGAUGAAGCUGUAGUUGUGGUUUGUACAGUGGUGGUUUCUACAGUUGUACUCUCUGAAGUUGUAGGCAUCACUUUUGAAGUUGUAGAUGUGGAUUGUGUACUCACAACUGUGGUUGUGGGAAUUUCAGUAGUUGAGGAGGCUGUAGGUAUAACUGUUGAAGUAAGAGUUGUAGAUUCAGAAGUUACAGAUGUUGAUGUUGUUGGAUUGUUCCUUGUUGUUGGUGUGGUUGAUGAAACUGUAGUCGUGGUUUCUGCUGUUGUACUCUCUGAAGUUGUAGGCACCACUGUUGAAGAAACAGAUGUGGUUUCUGAACUUACAACUGUGGUUGUGGGAAUUUCAGUAGUUGAGGAUGCUGUAGUUACUGAUGUUGUUACAGGUGCAGUUGUUUCUAUAGAUGUAGGCACUGUUGUUGAAGUGAGAGUUGUGGAUUCUGAAGUUGCAGCUGUUGAUGUUGGAUUGUUCGUUGUUGUAGUUGUGGUUGAUGAAGCUGUAGUCGUGGUUUCUGCUGUUGUACUCUCUGAAGUUGUAGGCACCGCUGUUGAAGUAAUAGAUGUGGUUUCUGUACUCACAACUGUGGUUGUCGGAAUUUCAGUAGUUGAGGAUGCUGUAGUUUCUGAAGUUGUUAAAGGUGCAGUUGUUUCUGAAGAUGUAGGCGCUGUCGUUGAAAUUAGAGUUGUGGAUUCUGAAGUUACAGCUGUUGAUGUUGUUGGAUUGUUUGUUGUUGUAGGAGUGGUUGAUGAAGCUGUAGUCGUGGUUUCUACUGUUGUACUUUCUGAAGUUGUAGGCAUCACUGUUGAAGUAAUAGAUGUGGUUUCUGUACUCACAACUGUGGUUCUGGGAAUUUCAGUAGUUGAGGAUGCUGUAGUUACUGAUGUUGUUAGAGGUGUAGUUGUUUCUGAAGAUGUAGGUGUAACUGUUGAAGUAAGAGUUGUAGAUUCAGAAGUUACAGAUGUUGAUGUUGUUGGAUUGUUCGUUGUUGUAGUUGUGGUUGAUGAAGCUGUAGUCGUGGUUUCUGCUGUUGUACUCUCUGAAGUUGUAGGCACCACUGUUGAAGUAAUAGAUGUGGUUUCUGUACUCACAACUGUGGUUGUGGGAAUUUCAGUAGUUGAGGAUGCUGUAGUUUCUGAAGUUGUUAAAGGUGCAGGUGUUUCUGAAGAUGUAGGCGCUGUCGUUGAAGUGAGAGUUGUGGAUUCUGAAGUUACAGCUGUUGAUGUUGUUGGAUUGUUUGUUGUUGUAGGAGUGGUUGAUGAAGCUGUAGUCGUGGAUUCUACUGUUGUACUCUCUGAAGUUGUAGGCACAACUGUUGAAGUAAUAGAUGUGGAUUCUGUACUCACAACUGUGGUUGUGGGAAAUUCAGUAGUUGAGGAGGCUGUAGUUACUGAUGUUGUUAGAGGUGUAGUUGUUUCUGAAGAUGUAGGUAUAACUGUUGAAGUAAGAGUUGUAGUUUCUGAAGUUACAGCCGUAAAUGUUGUUGGAUCGUUUGUUGUUGUAGGAGUGGUUGAUGAAGCUGUAGUCGUGGUUUCUACUGUUGUACUCUCUGAAGUUGUAGGCACCACUGUUGAAGUAAUAGAUGUGGUUUCUAAACUCACCACUGUGGUUGUGGGAAUUUCAGUAGUUGAGGAUGCUGUAGUUACUGAUGUUGUUAGAGGUGUAGUUGUUUCUGAAGAUGUAGGUGUAACUGUUGAAGUAAGAGUUGUAGAUUCAGAAGUUACAGAUGUUGAUGUUGUUGGAUUGUUCGUUGUUGUAGUUGUGGUUGAUGAAGCUGUAGUCGUGGUUUCUGCUGUUGUACUCUCUGAAGUUGUAGGCACCACUGUUGAAGUAAUAGAUGUGGUUUCUGUACUCACAACUGUGGUUGUGGGAAUUUCAGAAGUUGAGGAUGCUGUAGUUUCUGAAGUUGUUAAAGGUGCAGUUGUUUCUGAAGAUGUAGGCGCUGUCGUUGAAAUGAGAGUUGUGGAUUCUGAAGUUACAGCCGUUGAUGUUGUUAGAUCGUUUGUUGUUGUAGGAGUGGUUGAUGAAGCUGUAGUCGUGGUUUCUACUGUUGUACUCUCUGAAGUUGUAUGCACCACUGUUGAAGUAAUAGAUGUGGUUUCUGUACUCACAACUGUGGUUGUGGGAAUUUCAGUAGUUGAGGAUGCUGUAGUUUCUGAAGUUGUUAAAGGUGCAGUUGUUUCUGAAGAUGUAGGCGCUGUCGUUGAAAUGAGAGUUGUGGAUUCUGAAGCUACAGCUGUUGAUGUUGUUGGAUUGUUUGUUGUUGUAGGAGUGGUUGAUGAAACUGUAGUCGUGGUUUCUAUUGUUGUACUUUCUGAAGUUGUAGGCAUCACUGUUGAAGUAAUAGAUGUGGUUUCUGUACUCACCACUGUGGUUGUGGGAAUUUCAGAAGUUGAGGAUGCUGUAGUUACUGUUGUUGUUAGAGGUGUAGUUGUUUCUGAAGAUGUAGGUGUAACUGUUGAAGUAAGAGUUGUAGAUUCAGAAGUUACAGAUGUUGAUGUUGUUGGAUUGUUCGUUGUUGUAGUUGUGGUUGAUGAAGCUGUAGUCGUGGUUUCUGCUGUUGUACUCUCUGAAGUUGUAGGCACCACUGUUGAAGUAAUAGAUGUGGUUUCUGUACUCACAACUGUGGUUGUGGGAAUUUCAGUAGUUGAGGAUGCUGUAGUUUCUGAAGUUGUUAAAGGUGCAGUUGUUUCUGAAGAUGUAGGCGCUGUCGUUGAAAUGAGAGUUGUGGAUUCUG